RNAcentral lists this ribosomal RNA (715 nucleotides) under uncultured bacterium. RNAcentral's name for it is "bacterial SSU rRNA". It matches the Rfam family "Bacterial small subunit ribosomal RNA", at positions 771 to 1500 of the family's 1533-position model. The record is from RNAcentral.
AACAGGAUUAGAUACCCUGGUAGUCCACGCCGUAAACGAUGAUCACUCGCUGUAUGCGAUACACAGUAUGCGGCCAAGCGAAAGCAUUAAGUGAUCCACCUGGGGAGUACGAUCGCAAGGUUGAAACUCAAAGGAAUUGACGGGGGCCCGCACAAGCGGAGGAACAUGUGGUUUAAUUCGAUGAUACGCGAGGAACCUUACCUGGGCUUAAAUGUAGAGCGACAGCUUGUGAAAGCAGGCUUUCUUCGGACGAUCUACAAGGUGCUGCAUGGUUGUCGUCAGCUCGUGCCGUGAGGUGUCGGGUUAAGUCCCAUAACGAGCGCAACCCUUAUCGUUAGUUGCCAGCGGGUCAAGCCGGGGACUCUAGCGAGACUGCCACCGUAAGGUGUGAGGAAGGUGGGGAUGACGUCAAAUCAGCACGGCCCUUAUGUCCAGGGCUACACACGUGUUACAAUGGCAAGUACAAAGGGCAGCUACCCCGUGAGGGGAUGCUAAUCUCUAAAGCUUGUCUCAGUUCGGAUCGAAGUCUGCAACCCGACUUCGUGAAGCUGGAUUCGCUAGUAAUCGCGCAUCAGCCAUGGCGCGGUGAAUACGUUCCCGGGCCUUGUACACACCGCCCGUCAAACAAUGGAAGCUGGGGGUACCUGAAGUCUGUAACCGCGAGGAGCGGCCUAGGGUAAAACUAGUAACUGGUGUUAAGUCGUAACAAGGUACC